Molecule: ribosomal RNA, 253 nt
Filed under: uncultured bacterium
Lineage: Bacteria
Description: partial 16S ribosomal RNA
Rfam family: Bacterial small subunit ribosomal RNA
Source: RNAcentral
UACGUAGGGGGCAAGCGUUGUCCGGAAUCAUUGGGCGUAAAGAGCGCGUAGGCGGCCCAGUAAGUCCGCUCUGAAAGUCAGAGGCUCAACCUCUGAAUGCGGGUGGAUACUGCUGGGCUAGAGUCCGGAAGAGGCGAGUGGAAUUCCUGGUGUAGCGGUGAAAUGCGCAGAUAUCAGGAGGAACACCGGUGGCGAAGGCGGGUCUCUGGGCCGAUACUGACGCUGAGGAGCGAAAGCGUGGGGAGCAAACAGG